RNAcentral lists this long non-coding RNA (1576 nucleotides) under Marmota monax (woodchuck). The record is from RNAcentral. Lineage: Eukaryota; Metazoa; Chordata; Mammalia; Rodentia; Sciuridae.
GACAGAUGAAUAGACAUCUGAAAACAUACUUCAUAAUAAUUGUUUAUUAGAAAAAUUCAAAUUGAAAACACAAUGAAAUACUAUUAUGCUCCUAUUAGGAUGGCAAAAAAAAAAGUUUUUGAACAAUAUUAAGUGUUAGCAAAGGUAAAGAACAGGUGGUAAUGUUAUAUAUUGUGGUAGUCACACCAAAAAAUAGUUUGCCAGUUUCUUAUGAAACUAGACCUGCAAUAACUGUUCAUCUCAGCAAACCUACUCCUGGGUAUUUUACCCAAGAGAAAUGAAACUUAAGUUCACACAAAAAUCUGUGCUGCUAUAUAACAAAAUAUCUGAGACUGACUGAUAUAUAAAGAACGAAAGAUAGUUUCUGACAGUUCUGGAAGCUGAUAAGUCCAAGAGGUUUGGUCUGGUGAGGACCCUGUCUGCUUCCAGGAUGGUGCCUCAUGCCUGCAUCCUUAAAGGGGGUGAAUGUUGUGUCUUCAUGUAGUAGGACUGCAUAAAGACCAAGCCCCAGGGAAGUCUUUUUUUAAGGACCUUAAUCCCAUUCAUGAGACCUCCUAAAGGCCCCACGUAUUAAUACUAUUACAUUGGUGAUUAAACUUCAACAUAUGAAUGUGGGAGGACACAUUCAGAUUAUAAUACAAUUUAAUUCAUAUUCACCCCAAACUGAAGAAAACACAAAUGAUUUUACCUGUUGAAUGGAUAAAUGCACUGUAAUUCAUUCACAUUAUGAAAUAUUACUCAACAAUGAGAAAGAACAAACUGUUGCCAGGUAUGGUGGUCAUGCCUAUAAUCCUAGUGAUUCAAGAGGCUGAGACAGGAGGAUGGUCAAGUUUGAGGCCAGCCUCAGCAGCUUAGUGAGACUGUCUCAAAACUAAUAAAAAAAAAAAAAAAGAAAGAAUUGAGGAUGCAAUUUAGUGGUAAAGUUUGUCUUUGGCACCAAGACAAACAAACAACAGCAACAAUAACAAAAAACAAAGAAAGAAAAGGAAACAAACUAUUAAUACAGUCAAUAAGAUGGAUGAACCUCAACUAUAUUAUAUUAAUCCAGGGAUCAGCAAACUUUGGUUUGCAGGCCAAAUCCUGCCAUCUCUAUUUAUUUAGGUAUUGUCUGUAGUCCUAGUGACUCAAGAGGCUGAGACAGGAGGAUAGUCAAGUUUGAGGCCAGCCUCAGCAGUUUAGUGAGACUCUAUUUCAAAAUAAAGUGGUAAAGACAAACAAACAACAGUUUUCAUGCUACAAUGGCAAAUUUAAGUAUUUGUAUCGGAGAUAAUAUGAUUCCCAAAGUUGAAAAUAUUUACUAUCUGGCCCUUUACAGAAAAAGCGUGCCAAUCCCUGUGAUAAGUGAAGGGAGUCAGAUACAGAAGCCUACAUAAUCUAUGGUUCCAUUUAUGUGACAUUCUGGAGAAGGUAAAACCCCUGGGAUAGAGAUCACUGGUUCCCAGGGGUCAGUUCGGGUAUAGGAAUUGACUACAGAUGGACAGCAUAAGAACAUUUUUUGGGUGUGAAGCAACUCUCCUGCAUCUUCAUUAUGGUGAUCCUCACACAUCUCCAUUCACUUUCCAAAGCUAAAAGAAAC